GUUCCAUCUGGAAGAAUCUGGAGACAGGUGCUGCAUGGCUGUCGUCAGCUCGUGUCGUGAGAUGUUGGGUUAAGUCCCGCAACGAGCGCAACCCUUGCCUUUAGUUGCCAGCAGUUCGGCUGGGCACUCUAAAGGGACUGCCGGGUGUUAAACCGGAGGAAGGUGGGGAUGACGUCAAGUCCUCAUGGCCUUUAUGACCAGGGCUACACACGUACUACAAUGGCCGAUACAAAGGGCAGCGACACUGCGAGGUGAAGCCAAUCCCGUAAAAUCGGUCUCAGUCCGGAUUGGAGUCUGCAACUCGACUCCAUGAAGUUGGAAUCGCUAGUAAUCGUGGAUCAGCAUGCCACGGUGAAUACGUUCCCGGGCCUU
Molecule: ribosomal RNA, 372 nt
Filed under: uncultured Desulfobulbus sp.
Lineage: Bacteria; Pseudomonadati; Thermodesulfobacteriota; Desulfobulbia; Desulfobulbales; Desulfobulbaceae
Description: bacterial SSU rRNA
Rfam family: Bacterial small subunit ribosomal RNA
Source: RNAcentral